UUAAUAGUAUUUAUCAUGAUGCCAUAACAUAUUUCAACUAUAAUCUUACUCAUUUUUAUCAUGAUGCCAUAACAUCUUUUAGCUAUGGUCUUACUCUUUUUAGGCGUAUAGCCUUCGAUCAGACCUAUGGCCUAACCAUGAUCUUUCUUAGGUACUUUUCUCGUAGCAUUCUAUCCAUUCCUCCAUUUCACCAUUCCUAAACUUGAUGCUCGAACACCGCAAUGUCCCCUCCGCAAGGCUUAGAGCUUCGCCCUUGUCCAUAACAACUUAGCUUGUC
RNAcentral lists this long non-coding RNA (277 nucleotides) under Gossypium raimondii (Peruvian cotton). RNAcentral describes it as "long non-coding RNA (GRAI_LNC004448)". Lineage: Eukaryota; Viridiplantae; Streptophyta; Magnoliopsida; Malvales; Malvaceae. The record is from RNAcentral.